Molecule: long non-coding RNA, 920 nt
Filed under: Gossypium barbadense (sea-island cotton)
Lineage: Eukaryota; Viridiplantae; Streptophyta; Magnoliopsida; Malvales; Malvaceae
Description: long non-coding RNA (GBAR_LNC014557)
Source: RNAcentral
AAAACCUAAAAAGCUCUAAGGGUCCUGCGCCGCUUCGGCGAAUCGCCCCUCUCCAGGAACCUCCGAUUCCCACUUCCACUCCGAUAACUGCGGAGAGAGCAGGAAUCUUGUUUCCAGGUACGCUCCUCUUCUCUCUGAUUUCCCCCUUUUUCUUUUCUUAUUUUGUAUAUGCUUCUAUGUAUAUGGCUAAUGGCAAAGCAGCAAAAAAAAGCAAUCGGAAAAGAAAAUGGAACCGAAUCCAAAAAAAAGGAAAAAGAGAAACUUUUUCUUUUGUAUUGAUUUUUGUUGAUACAGUAUGCAUUGUGUGUGUGUUCUCCCCCCCCCCCCACUUUUACAAAAGUUUCGGCCUUUUUUUAUAGGCCGAGAAAAAUGAAAAAUGAAAAAAAAAUACAAAAUCCCCCCUUUUUUUUCAUUGUCUCUGUUGCUGUUUUUUGUGCGUGGUUGUUUGCUUGUGCUCUUUGUAUGUUACAGGUGUACGGUCGUACGGAGACGCGGGCGCGCGCGAACGGAGGCUCGCAUGAGUGCAGAGGCUUGGCACAUGCAGGUGAGAGGAGCUGCUGUGAUGCUGGGGCUACGUGGGAAGGCUGGAGGCGCGCUUGUGGGGAAACAGCGCUAAGGGCUUCUAGGGUUCCUUGCCUCUGAUUUUUGUUUUGGGCUGCAUGGUGAUUGGGCUAAGGUUUAAUGGGUAAUUCGGGUUAGGGUAUUUUAUUUCUAUUUGUCAUUAGGUUUCAGGUAAAUUUUAGACCAAAUUUUGUAGUCUGGACUAUACUAAUUGGAUCUUUAUUUAUGUGAUAUUUUUUUAUAUCUGGACUUUAAUAAUUGGGUUUGGGCCAAGUAAAAAUGGGCUCUUACAGUAAUGAUAAAUCUUGCGCUAUACUUUAUAUAUAAAAUUCCAGGUGAAAAUUAAAAGCAAAUUUUUG